RNAcentral lists this long non-coding RNA (293 nucleotides) under Homo sapiens (human). RNAcentral describes it as "non-protein coding lnc-EIF2AK3-23:1". Lineage: Eukaryota; Metazoa; Chordata; Mammalia; Primates; Hominidae. The record is from RNAcentral.
AUGGAAGUUCCAGCUCAGCUCCUCUCCUUUCUGGUACUCUGGCUCCCAGAAGUUGUGCUGACAUGGUCCCCAAUCACCCUGUGUUUGUCCCCAGGGGAAGGAGCCACCCUCACCUGAAAGGCCAGUCAGAUCAUUGACAACUAUUCAGCCUGGGACCAGUAGAAACCUGUUCUGGUUCCCAGGCUCCUUAUUUAUAGGGCAUCUACCAAGGCUACCAGCAUCCCAGCCCGGUUCAGUGGUGGUGGGCCUGAGGCAGACUUUACCCCAACCAUCAACAGCCUAGACCCUGAAGA